CGGUAAGGAUGAAAGGGUGCGGUAAGAGCGCACCGCGGACCUGGCAACAGGGACGGCACGGCAAACCCCACCGGGAGCAAGACCAAAUAGGGAUGACGCGGGGACAGGGUGAAAGCCCUUUGCCCCAGCCGGUUUUCGAGGCCUGUCAUCCGGGUUGGUUGCAUAAGGCCGGCAGUAAUGCCGGUCAAAGAUGAAUGGUCACCACGUCAGCGCCGUGAGGCGCCGGCCCUACAGAACCCGGCUUAUAGGUCAACUGGCAUU
This 261-nucleotide RNase P RNA is filed under the name Devosia sp. SCN 66-27. RNAcentral's name for it is "partial RNase P RNA component class A". It matches the Rfam family "Bacterial RNase P class A", at positions 146 to 367 of the family's 367-position model. From Rfam's summary of the family: Ribonuclease P (RNase P) is a ubiquitous endoribonuclease, found in archaea, bacteria and eukarya as well as chloroplasts and mitochondria. Its best characterised activity is the generation of mature 5'-ends of tRNAs by cleaving the 5'-leader elements of precursor-tRNAs. Lineage: Bacteria; Pseudomonadati; Pseudomonadota; Alphaproteobacteria; Hyphomicrobiales; Devosiaceae. The record is from RNAcentral.